GCCGGGAUGGCGGAAUUGGCAGACGCAGUGGACUCAAAAUCCACCGGACCGGAAGGUCCUUGCGGGUUCGACUCCCGCUCCCGGCACCA
Molecule: transfer RNA, 89 nt
Filed under: Gammaproteobacteria bacterium
Lineage: Bacteria; Pseudomonadati; Pseudomonadota; Gammaproteobacteria
Also listed under: 1 other name
Description: tRNA-Leu
Rfam family: tRNA
About the family: Transfer RNA (tRNA) molecules are approximately 80 nucleotides in length. Their secondary structure includes four short double-helical elements and three loops (D, anti-codon, and T loops).
Source: RNAcentral